RNAcentral lists this ribosomal RNA (256 nucleotides) under uncultured bacterium. RNAcentral describes it as "partial 16S ribosomal RNA". It matches the Rfam family "Bacterial small subunit ribosomal RNA", at positions 524 to 776 of the family's 1533-position model. The record is from RNAcentral.
UACGGGGGGAGCAAGCGUUGUUCGGAUUUACUGGGCGUAAAGGGCGCGUAGGCGGCCAGCACAAGUCAGUUGUGAAAAUCUCCGAGCUUAACUCGGAAAGGUCAACUGAUACUGUGCGGCUAGAGUGCGGAAGGGGCAACUGGAAUUCUUGGUGUAGCGGUGAAAUGCGUAGAUAUCAAGAGGAACACCUGCGGCGAAGGCGGCUCUCUGGGACGGUACUGACGCUGAGGAGCGAAAGCAUGGGGGAGCGAACAGG